Molecule: ribosomal RNA, 302 nt
Filed under: uncultured bacterium
Lineage: Bacteria
Description: partial 16S ribosomal RNA
Rfam family: Bacterial small subunit ribosomal RNA
Source: RNAcentral
GCAGUAGCCGCGGGAAUACGGAGGGUGCAAGCGUUAAUCGGAAUUACUGGGCGUAAAGCGCACGCAGGCGGUCUGACAAGUCAGAUGUGAAAUCCCCGGGCUUAACCUGGGAACUGCAUUUGAAACUGUCAGGCUGGAGUCUUGUAGAGGGGGGUAGAAUUCCAGGUGUAGCGGUGAAAUGCGUAGAGAUCUGGAGGAAUACCGGUGGCGAAGGCGGCCCCCUGGACAAAGACUGACGCUCAGGUGCGAAAGCGUGGGGAGCAAACAGGAUUAGAGACCCGCGUAGUCCCUGUCUCUUAUAC